AGGGGAUAUGGCAAAU
This 16-nucleotide transfer RNA is filed under the name Flacourtia indica (governor's plum). Its description in RNAcentral is "partial tRNA-Leu". The record is from RNAcentral. Lineage: Eukaryota; Viridiplantae; Streptophyta; Magnoliopsida; Malpighiales; Salicaceae.